GGCAGAAUGGUGUAGUGAUUUGAGUGAUGGACUACGACUCUAGAAGCCCAGGGUUCAAAUCCCCACUCAGCCA
Molecule: non-coding RNA, 73 nt
Organism: Phrynosoma platyrhinos (Desert horned lizard)
Lineage: Eukaryota; Metazoa; Chordata; Lepidosauria; Squamata; Phrynosomatidae
Source: the annotation of a GenBank genome assembly